UGUGUGUGUGUAUUUUCCAUUUUCUUGAGCAAUUCCCUUCAACAAGAAAGACAAUGAAAAGGUGAUCUGUGCUAUCCUCUAUAUGGAUUCUAAUAGCACUUUGCAACAUUUACGACUCUGUCAGACCACAGCUGGGAAACACCUGAGGGCAAAACAAAUCAGGCACAAGAAAUGAGGAUUCCAGGUUCCUCCUACCCAGUGUGGCCCCAACCGAAGCCUGCUCUAGUCACGUAUCCUAUAACCC
This is a long non-coding RNA of Chanos chanos (milkfish), 244 nucleotides long. RefSeq lists it as uncharacterized. The transcript has 3 exons. Lineage: Eukaryota; Metazoa; Chordata; Actinopteri; Gonorynchiformes; Chanidae. The record is from RefSeq and is a predicted model, not a curated record.